UGGGGAAUUUUGGACAAUGGGGGAAACCCUGAUCCAGCCAUCCCGCGUGUGCGAUGAAGGCCUUCGGGUUGUAAAGCACUUUUGGCAGGAAAGAAACGUCAUGGGUUAAUACCCCGUGAAACUGACGGUACCUGCAGAAUAAGCACCGGCUAACUACGUGCCAGCAGCCGCGGUAAUACGUAGGGUGCAAGCGUUAAUCGGAAUUACUGGGCGUAAAGCGUGCGCAGGCGGUUCGGAAAGAAAGAUGUGAAAUCCCAGAGCUCAACUUUGGAACUGCAUUUUUAACUACCGAGCUAGAGUGUGUCAGAGGGAGGUAGAAUUCCGCGUGUAGCAGUGAAAUGCGUAGAUAUGCGGAGGAACACCGAUGGCGAAGGCAGCCUCCUGGGAUAACACUGACGCUCAUGCACGAAAGCGUGGGGAGCAAACAGGA
Molecule: ribosomal RNA, 430 nt
Filed under: Acidobacteriota bacterium
Lineage: Bacteria; Pseudomonadati; Acidobacteriota
Description: Acidobacteria bacterium partial 16S ribosomal RNA
Rfam family: Bacterial small subunit ribosomal RNA
Source: RNAcentral